Molecule: non-coding RNA, 45 nt
Filed under: Schistosoma margrebowiei
Lineage: Eukaryota; Metazoa; Platyhelminthes; Trematoda; Strigeidida; Schistosomatidae
Source: RNAcentral
AUCCAGUUGAUGAAACCUAAAUGGGAUGAAACGCGCGUCUUGGAU